Molecule: ribosomal RNA, 643 nt
Filed under: uncultured bacterium
Lineage: Bacteria
Description: bacterial SSU rRNA
Rfam family: Bacterial small subunit ribosomal RNA
Source: RNAcentral
CGCGGCCUAUCAGCUUGUUGGUGAGGUAAUGGCUCACCAAGGCUUCGACGGGUAGCCGGCCUGAGAGGGCGACCGGCCACACUGGGACUGAGAUACGGCCCAGACUCCUACGGGAGGCGGCAGUGGGGAAUAUUGCACAAUGGGCGCAAGCCUGAUGCAGCAACGCCGCGUGCGGGAUGACGGCCUUCGGGUUGUAAACCGCUUUCAGUAGGGACGAAGCUAACGUGACGGUACCUACAGAAGAAGGACCGGCUAACUACGUGCCAGCAGCCGCGGUGAUACGUAGGGUCCGAGCGUUGUCCGGAAUUAUUGGGCGUAAAGGGCUUGUAGGCGGUCCGUCGCGUCAGGAGUGAAAACUCGGGGCUUAACCCCGAGCCUGCUUUUGAUACGGGCGGACUAGAGGGAUGCAGGGGAGAACGGAAUUCCUGGUGGAGCGGUGGAAUGCGCAGAUAUCAGGAGGAACACCGGUGGCGAAGGCGGUUCUCUGGGCAUCACCUGACGCUGAGAAGCGAAAGCGUGGGGAGCAAACAGGCUUAGAUACCCUGGUAGUCCACGCCGUAAACGGUGGGCACUAGGUGUGGGGGACAUUCCACGUUCUCCGUGCCGAAGCUAACGCAUUAAGUGCCCCGCCUGGGGAGUACGG